This is a long non-coding RNA of Cotesia glomerata, 1764 nucleotides long. RefSeq lists it as uncharacterized. NCBI's taxonomy places the organism in Eukaryota, Metazoa, Arthropoda, Insecta, Hymenoptera, Braconidae. The transcript is spliced from 3 exons. The record is from RefSeq and is a predicted model, not a curated record.
CCCAUCAGGGAAGGGCCCGUAAAAUACUUAACGUAUUAUACUUAGUUUUAUACAUGUAUAAUACACGUAAAUUACCGGUUGGGUUUCUUACGUGACGUAUUUUACGUUAGGUAUUUCAACACCAUCUACCGAACUUUUGAUGAACUUAAAUUAAAUUAUAAUAUCAUAAAGAAAAAAAUAUGCAAAGAGGAGGUCGACCGAAGCACAGUUUUUGGGAAGAAGGAGAAUUUCAGCGUAUUCGUGAAAACGGAAAACAAGUUGCAUCAUGUGUAAAGUGUAAAAAAAUAAUGAAUAAUACCGCUGAACAACGAUUGAAGAGUCACAGGAAGUCGCGUAUUUGGGAAAACUCUGAUUCAAUUUCUGAAUCUGAAGAUAACUGUAAUAUAACAUUGUCUAAAAAACGAAGAAAUCUUUAAGUAACUUUUUUUAUAGUAAUAAUUUAUCAUUUGAUCUAAUUCAAGAUCUUUAUUUUAAAAAAUUUUGUAAAAUAUUACGGCCUGCAUAUGAAGUCCCUAGUGAAGUUAAGUUAUCGACAACUUUACUUGAAAAAGCUCACGAUAAAUUUACUGAUCGUAAACUAAACUUGAAGGAGAAAAAAGGAACAUUAUUAUUUUGUAAAAAUGUUGUUCAAACAAGUGGCUUAGAGAUUAUUGCUAUAACAAGAACUGGAAAUGAUACAUUAUUUCUAAAGUCUUGGAUCUUGGGAGAAGAAAGUGAUUAUAUAAGUAAUUAUUUGCAAAUGAUUAACGAGUCAAGCUCGAUCGCACUUAAAAAGUAUUAUAUAUCAGUGUAUGCUGUGAUAUCAUUUAUAAACAUACCAAAAAAUAAUCGUAUUCUUGAUUCCACAUCAGCAUCGUAACUUCCAUCGGAAUCUAUAUCUAUGUGGCACUUUAAUUGUCAUUUAGAAACUGUCGAUACACUUAUGCAGCAAUUCACGAUGAUUCUUUAGAAAUCAAAAUUAAUCGUCUGUUAAACGCUAUAAAAAGUACUGAUGUUGAAAAAGAAUUAGUAAAACGAGGUGGAGAUACUCUAUCAGCUGUCAAACAAGAUGCUCAGUUUUUAUACUAUUCCAAAUUAUCGGUAUGUCUUAAUAAUUUACCUCUCCUACGUCAAAUUCUUGGUGAAGGAUUGGGAAAGUUUAACCGAGAAACGACAUUGUACAUAUUCGAUGAUGUAUUUGAGAAUAAUUUAAAAGAAUCUGUAUCAGUAUUCGAUUUUCUUUCAAAAUUUAUAACUAGAAAUAGUGGAAAUGAUUUUAAUAUUGCUGACGCCAUCGAGGAUUGGUUUAAAUUAAGAUUACUGAUAAAAAAUGAUUAUUUUUAGACAUCAUUGACAAUGAAUUAAAAAAAAUCAUUACUCCCCAGGCGUUGACGGCAAAUUUUUUGCAUCCAUUAUAUAGAGGUAGUUAUUUCAUGAAAAUUAGUAAAUAUAGUAAUAUAGUUUAUGAAUUUUUGAUUGAUGAACUAGAUGAUACAGGAUUGCAGGAAUUAGAGUGUUUUAAAAAUUCUAAAGGUUUAUUUGUAAAGUUAAUUACUAAAUCUACCUGUUCAAAAACUUUUUGGAGUAUAUAGCUUCAGAACAAAAUCCAAAUCUUAGUAUGUUGGCUCAAUCAUUAUUAAAAAUACCAGCAUGUACGAUAAAAUUUAAUCAGUAUGACUUAGGUAAAAACUUACCAGAAAAAUUAGUUCCUAAGUUCACUGGUGUUUUUUAUAAUCUUAAAUUUAUGAAUGCUAAUUAACAAAGAAUAUAAUAUAUAAAUUUUCA